AUCCCAUGAUGAGGACACUUACGAAGCAACUCCUUGAAUCGCUCCCAAGCUUCAUACAAUAACUCGUCAUCCAAUUGUUGGAGAGUUGUGAUCUCGUUCCUCAACUU
Molecule: non-coding RNA, 107 nt
Organism: Gossypium hirsutum (cotton)
Lineage: Eukaryota; Viridiplantae; Streptophyta; Magnoliopsida; Malvales; Malvaceae
Source: Rfam